This is a small nuclear RNA of Solanum stenotomum, 192 nucleotides long. RefSeq annotates it as U2 spliceosomal RNA. The record is from RefSeq and is a predicted model, not a curated record. NCBI's taxonomy places the organism in Eukaryota, Viridiplantae, Streptophyta, Magnoliopsida, Solanales, Solanaceae. The transcript has a single exon.
AUACGUUUCUCGGCCUUUUGUGGCUAAGAUCAAGUGUAGUAGUAUCUGUUCUUAUCAGUUUAAUAUCUAAUAUAUGGGCCACACGAUAUUAACUAAAUUUUUUUGAAGUGGAGGUCCACCACGGUAGCUUGCUAUCGGGACCUUCAAAUGUUGCCUUGGCAUUGCACUACUAUCUUGCCGGGCACAACACCA